UACGUAGGGGGCAAGCGUUAUCCGGAUUUACUGGGUGUAAAGGGAGCGUAGACGGCGAUGCAAGUCUGAAGUGAAAGGCGGGGGCCCAACCCCCGGACUGCUUUGGAAACUGUAUGGCUGGAGUGCAGGAGAGGUAAGUGGAGUUCCUAGUGUAGCGGUGAAAUGCGUAGAUAUUAGGAGGAACACCAGUGGCGAAGGCGGCUUACUGGACUGUAACUGACGUUGAGGCUCGAAAGCGUGGGGAGCAAACAGG
This 253-nucleotide ribosomal RNA is filed under the name uncultured bacterium. RNAcentral describes it as "partial 16S ribosomal RNA". It matches the Rfam family "Bacterial small subunit ribosomal RNA", at positions 524 to 776 of the family's 1533-position model. The record is from RNAcentral.